RNAcentral lists this long non-coding RNA (740 nucleotides) under Homo sapiens (human). RNAcentral describes it as "HSALNT0198045". The record is from RNAcentral. Lineage: Eukaryota; Metazoa; Chordata; Mammalia; Primates; Hominidae.
AAACAAAAAAGUCCAGUUUUGAUGUACUUAUGAAGUAACAGUGUGCUGAGUGAUAUAAGCAAGAUGGAGAAUAGGAAACCCCAGACCCUCAUUCUCCCAUAGAGACAUCAACUUAACAACAUCAUAUGGACAAAAUUGCCUGAGAACUCCAAAAACCAGUUGAGAGUUUGCAGCACCCAAAGGUGCACAAAGCCAAGAGAUGCAAUGAAACAGGUAGGAAACGGUGUGGCAUUUUACUUGCCACUGGUAGAGAACAGCAAGGACAAUUGUCAUAGUUACAGCAAGACAAGUGGGGAUUUACAGUCAAAGAGCAGAGUGCAGGGUGGUGGUGGGGUGGGGGUAGAGGCGGGCAUUGGAUGGAAAAUUACUAAGAGGCAACGUCAAGGGAAGGGUGACAUUCUGGUAAAACUGAUUUGACAGGAUUCUUGCUGAAGGCAGACCAGGAUGAUCGAAUGUCAUCUGGAGGAUGGUGGAGGAUGAUGAAUUUGAUUAGAUGUCAAGAGUGGAGGAUUCUUGCUAAAACUGCAAGAAAUAGUUUUGUGAUGCAAAGAUGAAUACAGGAGCUCAAAGGUCAAGUCCUGGUUAAGUAGAGGGUUCAGAGGAAUCUGACUAAAGUGUGGCCAAGGAGAGAUUAUUUGUCACCCUACCUAUUAUCCCUAGCACACUGUGGUAUAAUUGGAAGAAAAUUUCCAAUCCUCUUCUCCCUCAAGAGAGAAAAAGAGAAGGGAACCAACCAUGAG